UAAAAGAUAAGCUAAAUAAGCUACUGGGUUCAUACCCCAUUUAUAAAGGCCAUACUCCUUUUCUUUUAA
This 69-nucleotide transfer RNA is filed under the name Brumptomyia travassosi. RNAcentral's name for it is "tRNA-Met". The record is from RNAcentral. Lineage: Eukaryota; Metazoa; Arthropoda; Insecta; Diptera; Psychodidae.